AUACGUAGGGGGCGAGCGUUGUCCGGAAUGAUUGGGCGUAAAGGGCGCGUAGGCGGCCCGGUAAGUCUGGAGUGAAAGUCCUGUUUUUAAGAUGGGAAUUGCUUUGGAUACUGUCGGGCUUGAGUGCAGGAGAGGGAAGUGGAAUUCCCAGUGUAGCGGUGAAAUGCGUAGAGAUUGGGAGGAACACCAGUGGCGAAGGCGCAUUACUGGACUGUAACUGACGUUGUGGCGCGAAAGUGUGGAGAGCAAACAGGAUUAGAUACCCUGGUAGUCCACACUGUGAACGAUGAAUGCUAGGUGUAGGGGGUAUCGACCCUUUCGGUGCCGUAGUCAACACAAUAAGCAUUCCGCCUGGGGAGUACGGCCGCAAGGUUGAAACUUAAAGGAAUUGACGGGG
RNAcentral lists this ribosomal RNA (397 nucleotides) under uncultured bacterium. RNAcentral's name for it is "partial 16S ribosomal RNA". It matches the Rfam family "Bacterial small subunit ribosomal RNA", at positions 523 to 918 of the family's 1533-position model. The record is from RNAcentral.